UGUCUGUCUCUAAUUCGGGGGUCCAAUUAUUUCUGAGUAGGUCGGCAAAUGGUCUAAGCCGACGCGCUGGUGGGCCGCUGACCCGGGGUCUUGGAAGACGUUUCAGACCCUUCUGGAGGGGACGGAGUGCCCCGUGAGUAUCUGCGAUUUCUGGAAGGACGGUGCGGGUCGCUCCCGCAGCACAGCGUGAGGCCUUCGUCCUACUUUCAGUUUUGCCUCCAAUCGAGUGGAGGACUGUUUUGUCUUGCCUUUUGUUUUUCUGUUGUGCUUGGCUGUCUGUCUAUCACCGUGUAUUAUUGUUGUCACUUGACUUGGACUGAGACGAUGGGACAGACAGCGACCACCCCCCUGUCCCUCAUGACGGACCAUUUAAAAAAAAAAAAAAGUUAGGGAGCACGCUUAUAAUCUAAGUUUAGAAAUUAAAAAAAAAGGUGGGGGGAAACUAAUCACUCUCUGUAGUUCAGAGUGGCCAACUUACAGAGUGGGUUGGCCACCCGAGGGCACAUUUGACCUCGGAACGGUUAGGAAGAUCCGAAAGGCAGUCUUCCACUCCCAAACGGGACAUCCUGACCAGGUGCCUUACAUCAUCACUUGAGAAAAUCUAAUACGUGACCCCCCUCCAUGGGUCAAGCCCUUUUUGCCUCCACAGAAACAGCAGCCGGAGGUAAUCCUGGCAGCCUAUGAAAAGACUCCCAGAGUCUUUGCGAUGGAAAAAGGCAAACCGAAACCGAGCCGACUGUGCCGCUUUACCCGGUCCUCCAAGGAGGAACUGAUAAAGAUCUCCUCUUUCCCCCUCCCUACCACCCACACCCCUCUCCUCCACUCCCGCCGCCCCCAUUGGGGGCAGAGGGAGGAGCCCCGGCGGCAGCUGAGGAGGAGGCGCCUGCCCCAGUGGGCACCGCUAGUAGAGAUGGCCCCACCCAGAACAUUCACCCGGCAUGCUGCCUCACUGGCAGGACCAGCAGACUCUACUGUUCUCCCGCUGGGAGUGACAGGGCCCCCUGAUGAGCAUGGUAACCAGCCUCAUCACUACUGGCCCUUCACCACCAGUGACCUUUAUAACUGGUGUACUCAAUAUGCCAAAUUCUCAGACAACCCUAGGGAUUUAAUUAACCUGUUAGAAACUGUUUUGUUCACUCAUCAGCCCACCUGGGAUGAUUAUCAACAGCUCCUCCAGAUCCUGUUUACAACAGAGGAACACGAAAGGAUCCAGAAUGAGGCCAGAAAAUUGGUUCCUGGCGACAAUAACCAACUCACUACCAACUUCAAUACUAUUAACCUUUCCUUCCCAUUGUCCCGACCAGAGUGGGACUUCAACACAGCAGAAGAGCUCAACUAUCUACUACUCCUGACCUCAGCUAAGAAGAGCAGGCAGAGGAGUUAUGAUGUGACAGAAAAUAAUCAGAUCCCUUUGAAAAUAAUAUGCAGAUCCAGCUAUCAGGAAGUCAAAAUCUUGAUUAAUUUGGACAAGAGAAGAUGAGACAUGAGAAUGACAGGGAUAUAAAAUCCUGGGAGCCCUGGCCGGGGGAGGGCCUGGUCACAUGGAAACUUCCCCAGGAAAUUUCAUCUGAAAAGAAUGGAGGAAGAAGCAGUGAGUAUACAGCAAAGUGUGUACAUCUUCCCUCACACCUGUUGACCUCAGGGUGCCUCAUUAAAUGGCCAUUCAGAACACUGGAUCAUUUGGUCAUGCACAGGGCAUAGUUUCCUAGGAAGGAUUACUUGGCCUGAUUCCAAGGACAAGAUUUUGAGGAUGAAGUAAACAAAGACUUUUCCUGUUCCAUCAGAAGCCACACCCUGAAAUCAAAAUCACUUUAUGUUCUCUUGAGACACUCUAAAGAGUGGCUGAACUGCAUUUUAUUUAAUUCUUAAACUGACACAGAACUACAUUAAUUUCCAAAGAAUAAUGUGUACAUUGAAGUCAUCAAUGGGGAAUUUUUUGGAUCAGGUUGAUGGAGAACACAUUUCCAGAAACAUAUUUAUUCAUGACAGUGUAUAAAGAUUGGAACAACACAAUUUUCACCAGGGAAGAGUUUAUAAUUAGAAGUAUGACAUGAUGCUAGAAGUAAGGUGUAUUCAUUAGAAAAAAAUAGAAAAUGGAAUAUUCACUGAUGACAAGGAAUUCAAGACUCAUUAACAUUUUGUUUACAUACUAGUAAUUUUUCCCUUUAUCUUCCUUUGUGCCCAUAAAUUUUAUUUGGAUGUGUACUUAUCACUCUCUAUAAUUAUUGUAUUCAGUCAUCCUAAUAUUAUAACAAAAACACUAUAUUCUAACAUGACAUAUGUUAGGUCAGCCUUUUACUAACCAAAACCUCCAUGUGUUACAUAUUCUAUUCUGCCUCAUCCUUCACUGAGUGAACUGUCAACUCGCAGGUGAUAAAUGAACAUUUUGAAGCUCCAAAGAAAUGGGAGGGAACCUUCUUUCCAAUUGGUCUGUGUCAUCUGCUUAAUAUACAAUUUAUACAUGUGGAAUGUGUUUUCCUGUUUUGUGGAACUUGAUUUUGUUUUCUAUUUUGGAAAACUAAAAUGAUCAGAAAGACAUAAUCAGCACUGAAUAUAACAUAAAUUUUGUAAUGAAUACAGUAGAUAAAAUAAUGGUUUUAGUUAUACAUAAUUAAGUCAAAUAUUUUAAAAACAUAAAAAUAAAUAGAAAUACAAUAAUAAGACUAAAAUAUUUCAUUAUUAUCUGUCCAACAAGAGGAAACAAACACGGGAUUGGAAAGAGUAGACAGUGAGAAUCAAGGAACAUAGAUAUUGUGAAUCUUACAUUAAAUCUCAUAAAAUGAACUGUGAUUUAUAGAGGAAAGUUGCUCUGUGAGGAAAAAAGUGUCCUGAAAAUUUCAAGAGAAAAUGUGUCAUGGUAAAUAAAAGCUACUUCUUUAAAGUAUUAUGUUAUUAAUGUACUUACAGAAAGCCAAUGCUGUCCAUCCACAUUUUAACCCUAACAAUCUUAAUCCUAAACCUAUUAAUAUCCCUAACAACCUUAACCCUAAUCCUAAUCAUAACCUUAACAACACUCACCCUAACCCUAAAGUUGAGGUGUAAGAUAAAUAAGAGGAUGGAGUGAAUCUUUAAGCUAAUAUCACCUCAGUAGGCAUGAGAUUGCAAGAUGCCAAGAUGAAGAUUUUUUACUCAAGAUUUUCUAUCAAUGCAACACAUUUGGUCCAUGUGUAGAGAUGCUUAAGAUGACAGAGCACUUGUGGUAACUUCUGGUUCACAGCAGCAAGCAAAGUCACAGCAAGGAUUUAUAAUCCCUUUCAGUGUAAACAUUAGUGUGGUUUAAUUGCUAGUUCAUCACAGUUUAAAUUCCUACUUUCAUUUACAUCCUUUUUCUUUUAUCUUUCUGUCUUUCCCUCAUUCUCUACAAUAUUGUCAUGGUAGUUUUUCAUUUCUUUCAGCUUUAACUGGUAAAAAAAUCAAAUGUUUAUUUCUCUUAUUUUCUUUCUUUCCUGAAUCACAAUAUUUACCCAAAUUUAUGAGGUAAAUUGUAAUAAAUUGAUUUAUGCAUGAGUAGGAAUCAACUGAACUGUAUUAGCAUAUCUAUCAAAAUACACCUUUAUCAUUUCUUUGUGUUAAAUCAUCUGCUAAUCUUUUCAUUUUUUUGAUGAACAGUAUGUAAUUUUUGGUAAAAUUAUAUUUUCAUUGCUAUAUUUUAUUUCCCCAAAUUUUCUAGGUUGAAUUUAUUUUUCUCUGUAGCAUCUCAUACUAGGAGCUGCUUUCCUUAAAUAUAUGUUGCAUGGUACUAAAAUAUUUCCAUUUAUCAUAUGCAUGUCACUGUAUUUUUCAAUUGCGUGUUUUGGUUUGGCUCACUACUAUUCUUGUACA
This is an RNA transcript of Heterocephalus glaber (naked mole-rat), 3822 nucleotides long. RefSeq lists it as uncharacterized. The record is from RefSeq and is a predicted model, not a curated record. NCBI's taxonomy places the organism in Eukaryota, Metazoa, Chordata, Mammalia, Rodentia, Bathyergidae.